RNAcentral lists this transfer RNA (70 nucleotides) under Verasper moseri (barfin flounder). Its description in RNAcentral is "tRNA-His". It matches the Rfam family "tRNA". From Rfam's summary of the family: Transfer RNA (tRNA) molecules are approximately 80 nucleotides in length. Lineage: Eukaryota; Metazoa; Chordata; Actinopteri; Pleuronectiformes; Pleuronectidae. The record is from RNAcentral.
GUAGGUGUAGUUUUAACAAAAACAUUGGAUUGUGAUUCCAAAAAUAAGGGUCAAAGUCCCUUCUCCCACC